RNAcentral lists this long non-coding RNA (1715 nucleotides) under Citrus x clementina. RNAcentral's name for it is "Citrus clementina (C. clementina) long non-coding RNA (CCLE_LNC001546)". The record is from RNAcentral. Lineage: Eukaryota; Viridiplantae; Streptophyta; Magnoliopsida; Sapindales; Rutaceae.
AGUGGGGUGGAUUUACAUAAUUUAUGGUGGAAAUAUCACCACCUUUUUUAGAUACUAAAAAUAUUAUUAUUUUCUUAUGAUUUACAAAGAACCUUUUCUUUAAACAAUUAUUGGGUCUUAAAGAAAUUUUCCAAGGACUAGCCCAGACUAGCCAGGCUUACCCUCCCCGUAGUUUCACAUCUGCCUCUAUGAACAAUGGAGAAAACUAUGGUGCAACGGUGGUACCGUGCCACCAUUGCACCCAGCCGUUGGAUUCCAAUAGAUUCAUCUAUCUAAGUGGAUCUAACGGCUGGAUGCUACGGUGGCACGGUACCACCAUUGCACUGUAGCCAGACCCGUAAACAAUAAGUUGAAUAAAAUUUUAGAGUAACUAAAGAAAGUUUUAUUUUUAUUUUAAAAUGUAUCUUAAUUAAUAAAUUGAUUAAAAAAAUUUUAGUGGUCAAUGCUCAGAUUAGAUUUAACCUUUUAUAUAUAUAUAUAUAUAUGGGUAUAUACUUUUUUGGAAUUUCUUUUGGGAUACUAAUUCUAAAUGUUUGAUACAUUUGGAUUUUUUUUUUGGUUAUCCCUUAAAUACACUCAAGAAAUAGUAUCUACUAUCUAAUGAUGAUGUAAAUGAUGUGCUUAUAGAGUGCGUAUGUGUGUGUGUAAUUCAUAAGAAUGAUGUAUUUAAUAGGAAGUCCUAGCAUCAUAGCAUAAAUGAAUAUAUUAGGGCUUCUAAUAUGUACAAAAAGAGUGGGUAUAUGAGAUAAUCAUAAAUUAAUUACAGGAGGAAUAGAUAUGAUUUUUAUUGAUUACUGAUUGAGAGAUGAUUUCCGAUAUUUGUUUGGGAUUGAAACCCAGACUUGUUUACCUAACUUGAAAUCAUGAACCAUAAAUGGAAUGAAAUAUUAAAUUUAUUGAUUAGUUUUAAAUGUUAAAUUGUUGAAGCCUUUCAACCCAUGCAUAGUCCUUGCUACCUAAUUGUAAGGGCAAACCUUCAAGGCAAAAGUGCAUCCGGGCGUUCAAAAUUUAUCCUAAUUUAAACAUAUAUAAAUUUCAAACGCCUCAAGAAUCGACAUAUACUUCCUUCUGUUGAUAUAUAUAUAUUUGAAUGGAGAUCAUGUUGUCAUCAUAUUGAGUAGGGUGACAUGUGUAACUAUUGGUGCGAUGAUUUUUCUAAGUGUUGAUUAGAUAUAGAUAAAAUGUCACUAGCAAAUCAGUAGGCGGCAUGUGUUAAAUAAUUAAAAAUAAUUUUUUUUGAAAUUUAGUUUUUAGCUUUUGUAUUUGUAGUUAUUAUAUGUUAAAUUAAUAGUUGCAUUUAUUGAUUUAUAAAACUUUGAUCUAAUUUAGGGUGUGUUUCAAACGCCUCAAGAAUGGACAUAUACUUCCUUAUGUUGAUAUAUAUAUACACACACACAUAUACAUAUACACAGUAUAACCUCUAUAAAUUAAUAAUGUCGGGACCAUAGAAAUUUGUUAAUUUAGAGAGAUAUUAAUUAAUUGAUAAAUUAAUAAUUUAUUAAUUUAUAGAGUGUGUUCACAGGAUAUAUGACUUAUCUAAAUUAUGUAAAUACAUGAAUACUCUUUUAGAUGCAAUAAGAAAAAUUAGAGAUGAGAUUCAACUAAAUUUAAACUUCAAGAAAAAACAAGUUACAAUAGACUCAUAUUUUAAUAAAUUGACAUAGUAAGUUACAUUUGUAAUUUCACAGUAUUUGUAAUUUCUAUAAUUAUUAAUU